UAAGGAAACUAGUCAUUUUGACAAGUUAGUCACUUGUUCCAAUACUGUUUAUUAAUUAAUAUACUUUCUCUAUAUUGUGGGACUUUGGGGAAAUUUCUUAUUUUAUUAAUAUGCCUACUUCUGUUCAUGAUUACACUAUAUAAGAAUUACAUGUAGAUUGUAAAAAUACAUUUUAAGCCAGUCACAGUGAUACACACCUACAAUUUAACUAUUCAGGAGGUGGAGAUGGGAGGAUCACAAGUUUGAGCCCAGCCUGGACAACACAGACUCUGUAUCAAAAAAACAAAACAAAACAAAAACACCUAUUCACUUAAAAAUAAUGGCUAAAGAGUUCGAGGUGUAACUCAGUGUACAGAAUGUGCAUAGCAUAAACAAAUUCUGGGUCCGUUCCCAUUCCCAUAAAUCAACCAGAGGUUUAAUCAAGGCAUUUGAAAUUUAAGAUAGAAUAACUUUGGAUAAACAUUAGUUCUGAGAAUCCUUGAUAACUUUGUAAAUAAAACUCUCACACUGCCAUAGCAUGUAAUUGUAUUUCCCCACCUCCCAAAGAUGGUCAAAAAUACACUUUAAUUUCUGACAGUUUAUUGUCUUCCUUCCUAUGAUUGAAUUAUGUUCAUUCAUUUUUUUCUCCUAUGAUUGAAUUAUGUUCAUUCAUUUUUUUUCUUCUAGAGACAUUCAAAACUACUUUCUUCAGUUUCCAAAAGUAUCCAUUAAUCUUACAGUUCCAACCUUAGAAAUGUAUAUAUUUUUAUAAUAUUGAGACUUCCCAUCCAGGGAUAUGGUAUAUGUCUCCAUUUAUUAAUGUUUUGUGUUUCUCGGUAAAAUUUAAUUCUA
RNAcentral lists this long non-coding RNA (831 nucleotides) under Marmota monax (woodchuck). The record is from RNAcentral. Lineage: Eukaryota; Metazoa; Chordata; Mammalia; Rodentia; Sciuridae.